RNAcentral lists this ribosomal RNA (253 nucleotides) under uncultured bacterium. RNAcentral describes it as "partial 16S ribosomal RNA". It matches the Rfam family "Bacterial small subunit ribosomal RNA", at positions 524 to 776 of the family's 1533-position model. The record is from RNAcentral.
UACGUAGGCAGCGAGCGUUGUUCGGAGUUACUGGGCGUAAAGCGUGCGUAGGCGGUGGCCCAAGUCUGGUGUGAAAUCUCCCGGCUUAACCGGGAGGGUGCGCCGGAAACUGGGCUGCUGGAGUACGGGAGAGGCAAGCGGAAUUCCUGGUGUAGCGGUGAAAUGCGUAGAUAUCAGGAGGAACACCCGUGGUGCAGACGGCUUGCUGGACCGUGACUGACGCUGAGGCACGAAAGCGUGGGUAGCAAACAGG